This is a small nuclear RNA of Callithrix jacchus (white-tufted-ear marmoset), 106 nucleotides long. The record is from Ensembl. Lineage: Eukaryota; Metazoa; Chordata; Mammalia; Primates; Cebidae.
GUGCUUGCUUUGACAGCACAUAUACUAAAAUUAGAACAAUGUAAAGAAGAUUACCAUAGUCUCAGUGCAAGGAUGACCACAAAUUCUUGUUGUGUUUCAUAUUUUG